GCCGGAGUGGUGAAACUGGUCAAACACAGCGGACUUAAAAUCCGCCGGCGAAAGCCCUGCGGGUUCGAGUCCCGCCUCCGGCA
RNAcentral lists this transfer RNA (83 nucleotides) under Rhodothermaceae bacterium. Its description in RNAcentral is "tRNA-Leu". It matches the Rfam family "tRNA". Rfam says of the family: Transfer RNA (tRNA) molecules are approximately 80 nucleotides in length. Their secondary structure includes four short double-helical elements and three loops (D, anti-codon, and T loops). The record is from RNAcentral. Lineage: Bacteria; Pseudomonadati; Rhodothermota; Rhodothermia; Rhodothermales; Rhodothermaceae.